UACGAAGGGGGCUAGCGUUGCUCGGAAUCACUGGGCGUAAAGCGUGCGCAGGCGGCCUUCCAAGUCAGGGGUGAAAGCCCAGAGCUCAACUCUGGAAUUGCCUUUGAGACUGUGAGGCUUGAGUACGGGAGAGGUGAGUGGAAUUCCCAGUGUAGAGGUGAAAUUCGUAGAUAUUGGGAAGAACACCGGUGGCGAAGGCGGCUCACUGGCCCGAAACUGACGCUCAUGCACGACAGCGUGGGGAUCAAACAGG
Molecule: ribosomal RNA, 253 nt
Filed under: uncultured bacterium
Lineage: Bacteria
Description: partial 16S ribosomal RNA
Rfam family: Bacterial small subunit ribosomal RNA
Source: RNAcentral